CUGAUUUGUGUGGGUCAGAAUACACAGAACUCUCUCUAGCCUGGGAGCUGCUAAAAUGCAUCCACAGUCCAGGGCUGCGUGUUUCAGGCUCACCAUCAGUUCUUCACGGCAAUAAGACUCCUGAUCAGCCCAAAUCUCCUGCCUUGGGUCUCCCCUGGGAACAUCAUGACGCAAAUGAGAAGACGGAAAGUAAACAACCCCCCAGUCCAUAGUCGUGUAUUCUAGUUGUAGGUAAAUUCUGCUAUAUGGGACGCCACCUCAGCGUGGCCUUACGAGCAAUGCCAUGUCCAUGCCCAGAAUCCG
RNAcentral lists this long non-coding RNA (303 nucleotides) under Equus asinus (donkey). RNAcentral's name for it is "lncRNA (ENSEASG00005025177.1)". Lineage: Eukaryota; Metazoa; Chordata; Mammalia; Perissodactyla; Equidae. The record is from RNAcentral.